GCAAAACAAGUCACCCUUUUGCCAAACGUCCAAACUAAGCAGUCAUGACUGGAUGCUACACUCACUAAACACAUACUGAAUGCAUAAUUUUAAACAACAAAAGCCCUCGAUUUUUUACAAUAGAAACAAGAAUCCAUGUCAUAUUCAGCUGAUUCCAAGAUUCAAUCAGUGCUACCAAUGCAUUCAAUCAGGAAAUUAUGAAGGCUCCAUCGAUUACCACGCUUAAACACGUUGAUUUUUCAUAACAGCAGUUGCCAGGAAGCCACAUUUGCUAAAGUCUUGAUCCAGUAACAAGGCUCUUUCUCCCUUCUCAAUAACCUCACUCACAGUCGAUGAUUAUUUGAUUACUAUGACCAAAUUGAAAGAAAACAGCUUUAUUGAAUUCUAAGAAUCAAAGCUGGAAUUCACCCAUGUAAAAUUGACUCUUCUGCAAUUGAAGUGUGUCCAAAUAAGCCAAGGACAAAAUCGCGCAAAGGCUAACCUGCGACGGGAACCGCAAGGGCUCCAGAAAUCCAUUGAUGCGCACUUGCAGAACCAGUCCUUUCAUAGGUCGAAGCAAAGACCGGAAGCUUCCCGCUGAACGCAGCCGCCGCAGCUCUCCCCUCUACAAUCCAAAGAAAAGAGACCGAUCAAAUGAAUCCGAUGACGAUCGAUCUAAUAGAGCGGACGAAACGCAAAGAAAUGGAAACGUACCGGAGUAGAAGCGAGAGCCCUUGGAGGCAGAGGAGAGAAGCGACCUGGCGGCUCUGGAAGGAGACGCGAAGCUGUGAGAGAUCCAUUGAUGCGCACUUGCAGAACCAGUCCUUUCAUAGGUCGAAGCAAAGACCGGAAGCUUCCCGCUGAACGCAGCCGCCGCAGCUCUCCCCUCUACAAUCCAAAGAAAAGAGACCGAUCAAAUGAAUCCGAUGACGAUCGAUCUAAUAGAGCGGACGAAACGCAAAGAAA
RNAcentral lists this long non-coding RNA (945 nucleotides) under Linum usitatissimum (flax). Its description in RNAcentral is "long non-coding RNA (LUSI_LNC005276)". The record is from RNAcentral. Lineage: Eukaryota; Viridiplantae; Streptophyta; Magnoliopsida; Malpighiales; Linaceae.